RNAcentral lists this ribosomal RNA (459 nucleotides) under uncultured bacterium. RNAcentral describes it as "partial 16S ribosomal RNA". It matches the Rfam family "Bacterial small subunit ribosomal RNA", at positions 338 to 795 of the family's 1533-position model. The record is from RNAcentral.
CCUACGGGAGGCAGCAGUGAGGAAUAUUGGUCAAUGGGCGAGAGCCUGAACCAGCCAAGUCGCGUGAGGGAGUACUGCCCUAUGGGUUGUAAACCUCUUUUGUCGGGGAGCAAAAGCCGGACGUGUCCGGCUGUGAGAGUACCCGAAGAAAAAGCCUCGUCUAACUCCGUGCCAGCAGCCGCGGUAAUACGGAGGAUGCGAGCGUUAUCCGGAUUUACGGGGGGUAAAGGGGGCGCAGACGGGGAUGCAAGCCAGGAGUGAAAGCCCGGGGCCCAACCCCGGGACUGCGCUUGGAACUGCGUGGCUGGAGUGCAGGAGGGGCAGGCGGAAUUCCUGGUGUAGCGGUGAAAUGCGUAGAUAUCAGGAGGAACACCGGUGGCGAAGGCGGCCUGCUGGACUGCAACUGACGUUGAGGCCCGAAAGCGUGGGGAGCAAACAGGAUUAGAUACCCUUGUAGUC